UUUUUAUUAUUUUGAACUUAAACGUUUGCUCUAAAUUAGUAACAGUUAUGAUCUCUAAAAUUAAAAAAUUUGGCGGUAUUUUAGUCUUUUCAGAGGAACCUGUUCUAUAAUUGAUAGUCCACGAUUAAUUGUACUUAUCUUAAAAAUUUAUAUAUCGUCGUAGUUUGAAUAUUUUAAAAGAAUAAUAAUAUUCAAAAUUUUAUAUUUAAAAUAAAAUCAGAUCAAGGUGUAGUUUAUAGAUAAGAAGAAAUGGGUUACAAUAAUAUUAUUUUUGGAUAUAUUUAUGAAAUUAAUUAUUGAAAUUGGAUUUGAAAGUAAUAAAAUUUAUUUAUUUUUUAUGAUUUAAGCUCUAAAAUAUGUACAUAUUGCCCGUCGCUUUUGUUUUAAGAUGAAAUAAGUCGUAACAAAGUAGAUUUACUGGAAAGUGAAUCUAG
This 434-nucleotide ribosomal RNA is filed under the name Clerus klapperichi. Its description in RNAcentral is "12S ribosomal RNA". Lineage: Eukaryota; Metazoa; Arthropoda; Insecta; Coleoptera; Cleridae. The record is from RNAcentral.